CUCAAUACGUUUGCUUCAUGAGCUACAGCGCAUGUGUCGAAACCUCGGGUAUCAGAGGACCAUCACUAAUCACAGGAUUCCUACCGGACGCCAGCUCCUAGUACGGCUGAAUCAAAUGGUCACCGUGGCGCUUCGGCUGAUUCUACCAGCAGACACUGGAAAGGGCUCUGAUAGUUCAGUCCCUCUCUAUCUCCCCACACAUCCACCAACCACUGGAACACAUCUCCAAAGUUCUGCCGGGCCAGUUCAGCUUCCCCUCAGAAGAAGUGCUGCCACCUGCCAGAUGAAGGAGCCUUUUGAGAGGCAGCUGGAAUCGUGAUUGGACUGUACUUUGGUCUGUUCCAAUCCAGCUUCAGCUCCAGAGACGGCAGGCGGGACGAGUCAACGGAGGCCGGGUGGACGAAGGCAUGCAGCUGAGUACAAUCCAGAAAACAACAGAGGAGGAGUGCAGGGCCAGAACAAACAGAGUAGCAUCGUAUGUCUCUUAGAAAACAUCAUAGUAUAGCCUUUGGGAUGAAAAAACGCCAUCAUAUACAUUGUAUAUUGUACAAAUAACAAGUCAAAGGAAAGAGACAUACAUUGUAGAAUUGUAGUAAUUGUGGGCUGACUGAUUUACUGAUUAUCAAUAUUUUAUUUUUUACUGAUUUACGGUAAUAAAUCAAUUUAAAAAUGGUGCUACUUUGGCUCUGAACCUUAAUCUACCUGUGGUCGCUCUGUCUUCUGGAGUGAUUUGAUUGGUUAUACGUCACGAAUAAAACUCCUUUAACUUAACAUCUGUAAACAAAACAAAAACGUAUCAACAAAGUUUUCUGUUAGAGUUUGUGUUCUUCGAAGUUUAACUCCAAAAUUUUAAAUACUUUCAUUUACUGCA
Amphiprion ocellaris (clown anemonefish) is the source of this 871-nucleotide long non-coding RNA. Lineage: Eukaryota; Metazoa; Chordata; Actinopteri; Pomacentridae. The record is from Ensembl.